AAUGAAAAAAGAAUUCCUUUUUCACAGAAUAAUUCGAGGUUGAAAAAUUGCAUCUACGUAUUUAUUAUGUAUGUGCGAUUGUACGUAGACUAAACCCCAAAAGCACUUACGAGUUGCACUUCUGUUUAAAAGCAAUUGGCAGUGGCAACUACGUUUUACGAAAGGUUUUAGAGUCCUGCAGAGUUUAAAAAAUAAAGGAGUCCGAAUAUUGGGCGUGAGGCCGAAACUCGCAAGAUACUGUAUCAAGAUUCAGUUUCUAUGUAAAGGGCAGAGAGAGAAAGCAGAGGAAAUGGCGAGCGAAGAGGAGAGCGCGGUGAAGGAGCCGUUGGACCUCAUUCGUCUCAGUCUCGACGGGCGUAUCUAUGUCAAACUCCGCCACGACCGAGAGCUCCGCGGCAAGCUUCAUGCCCUUCUUGCAAUGCCCUUCCACUACCUCAUUCGGUGUUUCUAAUAACUAUCAUUCUCCUUGUUGUAUCGUGCACAUUGAUUGAGACUCAAUUCUUCAUUGAGCGAGACCAUCUUGGGAAAGCAAAGAAGAUCUUACAAUCGUUAAGAGGAUCGAACACAAAGGUCGAGUUCACAAAAUCAGACAUAGAGAUCGUGUUCACAGAGUUAGUGGCGUACACAAAGAAAAAACAACCAAUAGAGGCUCUGCGAGAAAUUAUAAGACCUCGCAACCGUCCUGUUUUGGUGAUCAACAGCAUUGAGUCGAUAUUUGGAAAACUUUCUGGUGAGGUUUUUUCUCCAGUCUAUUGGCUAUGAGUGACAUGAGUCGUUUCUUGCUACUUUGAUUGUUGCGUUUGUGGACCUAAUAACUAAAUUGGUUAGCCCAUUUCUUAUUGGACGUUUUAGGAAGAGGAAAGUAUUUUUUAUGGCAUAUUUAAGCGCAAUUAUUCCACUAGUAUGUCUACUAAUUAGUCUAACAUAUAAAUAAUUAUUAGAAUCGUUUUGAAUUUUUUAAUUAUUUAUGUUUACUAUAUAUUUAUCUUUAUGUGCAAUUAUAGGUUUGCGUUGGGAUUCGGUUUCAUUUGAAUCCAGACGCGCAUCAUCAUUUCAAACCUCGCAGAGCUACCAUGACCAUUGUUUUUGUGUUAUUACACAUAAAUGGAAGUGGUGUUAUAUUUGGACCAAACGGUUGACUUAAUUCAACAUUUCCACCAGAGUGCGACGAUCUUGCAUUAUCGUACAAUUUCUGUUUAGAAAAACUAACAACUUUUAUUAUAAAUCAAAUGUUUUUUCACCUCCUAUGCACAUUAAUGGAAUGGACUUUCUUUCUUUACUUUGCACUAUGCCUUACUAUGAUGCUCUUCAACUUAGCGUUCGUUAUAGAAACGUCUGGCAUAGAAUAACAUGCAUUGGCUCAAAGGAUAUGGAGCCAUCAUUGGUUUUAAAAGCGGUAUAUGUCCAAUUUCGACGAUAUAAGAUAAAUGAUAUGUUCAUCUGAAUUGGAAUUGGACAUAUACCGCUUCCAAAACCAAUGAUGGCUCCAUACCCUUUAACCCAAUUCAUGUUGUUCUCUGUCAGACGUUUCUGGAACAAACGCUAGGUUGAAGAACAUCAUGGUAAUGCAUAGUGUGGCAUAAAGAAAGAAAGUCCAUUGUCUUAAUGUGGAAAGGAGGUGAAAGAAUAUCUGAUUUAUAAUAAAAGUUGUUAACAUUUCUAAACAGAGAUUGUACGCCGAUGCAAGGUCGUCACACUCUGGUGGAAAUGUUGAACUAAGCCAUCCGUCUGGUCCAGAUAUAACACCACUUCCAACUAUGUGUAAUAACACAAAAACAAUGGUCAUGUUAGCUCUGUGAGGUUUGAAAUGAUGAUGUGCGUUUGGAUUCAAAUGAAAGAGAAUGCCAACGCAAACCUGCAGUUGCACAUAAAGGAUAAAUAGAUGAUAAACAUAAAUAAUUAAAAAACUCAAAACGAUUAUAAUAAUUGUUUAUAUGAUAGACUAAUUAGUAGACAUACCAGUGGGAUAAUUGCGGUUAAAUAUGCUAUCAAAAAUACUUUCCUCCUCCCAAAACGUGCAAUAAGAAGUGGGCUAAUCGCUUUAGCUAUUAGGUCCACAAAUGCAACAACCAAAGCAGCAAAAAAUGAUUCGUGUCGCGUAUAGCCAAUAGACUGAAGGAGAAAAGGACCAUAAAAAGUCAACAAGUCUCCACUAGAAAAUUCUUCAAAUACGGACUCAAUGCUGCUGAUCACCAAAACGGGACAGUUGCGAGGUCUUAUAAUUUCUCGCAGAGCCUCUAUUGGUUGUUUUUUCUUUGUGAAUGCCACUAAUUCUGUGAACUCGACCUUUAUGUCGGAUUCUGUGAACUCGACAUUUGUGGUCGAUCCUCUUAGCGAUCGUAAGAUCUUCUUAGCUUUCUCAAGAUUGCCUCACUCAAUGAAGAAUCGAGGAGUCUCAAUCAGAGUGCACGAUACAACAAGGAGAAUGAUAGUAGGAAUUCCUCCUGCUCCCAGUGACAUCCUCCAUCCCCAAACGUGGAAGUAAGAUGCUAUAUAAUUUAUUGCUGCUGCUAAAAUGGUACCCAACGUCUGUGGCCAUCCAAAAACCAUUGAUAUGGUAUAAUAUGAGUCUUUUGGAGCAGUUUCUGAGUGUAUAGUAGGAAUCACCUGCAAAAAGUCAUAAUUUAUAUGUUACAUUAUUGCAA
Long non-coding RNA from Sesamum indicum (sesame), 2645 nucleotides. RefSeq lists it as uncharacterized. NCBI's taxonomy places the organism in Eukaryota, Viridiplantae, Streptophyta, Magnoliopsida, Lamiales, Pedaliaceae. The record is from RefSeq and is a predicted model, not a curated record.